CUGCUCGCGGAGUUCAAGGGCAUAGCUGUUGAAUAUAUGCCUAAAUGUAAAAUGCCUAAUAUAAAAAGGACCUGAUCGCGUUAAUGCUGACGGUCAACUAUAUUGGUAAACCGUAGUAAUAAUACCCGAAGCACCGUUGUGGUCAAGUAAGGUCCACGUUUGUGUAGCGGCAAAUAACAGUCACACUGUGAUUGAAGUUUUUUUUUUAUCGUUUUGUUUGCCAUGGAUUGGUUAGUUAGUUUAGCUAACGGAAGCUACCCAAGCUUACGCUAGCCACCUCCACCCACACACACACACACACACAUUUGACGAUCGUAUCCAAGCUGUUAUUGAAUAAACUUCAACUUCAACGACUACUUAACACGUACGACCUCCUGUAAAGGUUUACCUACAGAGAGGCACACCUAGGAACCAAAGCAACCAAAGCAACAUCCAUGGACCCACACCUGGCAUACUAAGCACCUGAAGAGCCAACACAAAGCCGAUCAGGACAUGCCCCCCACUUUACUCCGCUCUUCCCCCUCACUAUGGCUCCCUUAAAAAGGGAUCCUUGGAACUGGGGUACUCUUCUUUUUGCUGGACCACUGGUCAGGAACUACCAUGCUUACUGUUUCAGCAAUAGUGAGGUUAUGGCUGCAAUAUCAGUGGUACACUGCUCUACGGUGUCCUCGACAUCGCCCACACGGAGGAGUGUAAAUGGCAGAGACUAUGCUGCUGAGGAGGACAUAAAAAUGUUUUUAGACGAUUGUGUGUUUGCACAAGGCCUCACAGCUGCGAGCAGAUUUUUGAAAUCAACCCAUG
Long non-coding RNA from Clupea harengus (Atlantic herring), 801 nucleotides. The record is from Ensembl. NCBI's taxonomy places the organism in Eukaryota, Metazoa, Chordata, Actinopteri, Clupeiformes, Clupeidae.